This 476-nucleotide ribosomal RNA is filed under the name Pichia occidentalis. RNAcentral describes it as "partial large subunit ribosomal RNA". It matches the Rfam family "Eukaryotic large subunit ribosomal RNA", at positions 138 to 635 of the family's 3401-position model. The record is from RNAcentral. Lineage: Eukaryota; Fungi; Ascomycota; Pichiomycetes; Pichiales; Pichiaceae.
ACGAGUUGUAGAUUGCAGGUUGGAGUCUUUGUGGAAGCGUGUGUCUAAGUCCCUUGGAACAGGGUGCCAUUGAGGGUGAGAGCCCCGUGAGACGCGUGCGGAAGCUGUAAGGCCCUUCUGACGAGUCGAGUUGUUUGGGAAUGCAGCUCUAAGUGGGUGGUAAAUUCCAUCUAAGGCUAAAUAUUGGCGAGAGACCGAUAGCGAACAAGUACUGUGAAGGAAAGAUGAAAAGCACUUUGAAAAGAGAGUGAAACAGCACGUGAAAUUGUUGAAAGGGAAGGGUAUUGGGCUCGACAUGGGAUUUGCGCACCGCUGCUCCUUGUGGGCGGCGCUCUGUGCUUUUCCUGGGCCAGCAUCGGUUUUUGCCGCAGGAGAAGGCGUGCUGGAAUGUGGCUCUUCGGAGUGUUAUAGCCAGUGCGAGAUGCUGCGUGCGGGGACCGAGGACUGCGACAUCUGUCUCGGAUGCUGGCACAACG